Molecule: long non-coding RNA, 24600 nt
Filed under: Coffea arabica (coffee)
Lineage: Eukaryota; Viridiplantae; Streptophyta; Magnoliopsida; Gentianales; Rubiaceae
Description: long non-coding RNA (CARA_LNC000744)
Source: RNAcentral
UAUCAAUGAGGGUUAAUAUAGUCUUUUUGUAAUUAUGAGGGAGAUAAGUGAUAUUUUUAAAACCUCACGGAUGUUAAAUGAUAUUAGGCGAAGCUUCAAGGGAGGUUUCUGAUAUUAUAAGUUUAAUUAGUCGGUUGGUCGUGGAAUGAAAGCAGCACUUCAAAUUCUCUUUCACAAAAAAGUAAAUAUAUGAAAUCUCUGAAAGUGAAACAAGUUGAUGUGAUCCAAAACAAAAAGAAAAAGGACCACAAAAGAUUAAACUGCCUUAGAAUGGAAAGGAAAUGAAACUCGAGAAGAGGUAGAAAUGAAACUGAGAAAGGAAAUUCAAGAAUGAAAGGCGGAUCCAACUUUUGACAUUCUAAAUUAUGUAGCAAGCAUCUAAAUACUUGCGCUAAGUAUUGCACUAAUAAUUGACAAACAGCUGACGUUCUUGACUCACCUAAACCUUGAUACUAAUACCGUAUAAUUUGUGCUUGUAAUUAACAUAACCGACAUCCAAGAUUUGCAUCAAGAAAUCUAGCAGUUUAAUUUAUUGAUAUGCUGUAUAUAUGAGUUGAGUUCAACGAAUGUCUAAAUGGCUUUUCUUGUUUAUGCUACCACGCGAAGGCAUCCAUGCAACAAGUCCACAAAUAUCAUAUGAAAGUUUUGAAACGGCUGAUAGCUACACCAAGAAUUGGUUCCAGCUGCCAAGAGAGCCUCCAUUAGGAGCAAAUUAAUAUAUGAACCCUCCUGUUUCAGUCUCUUAAUCACUAUUAUUAUCUAAGCAUUUCUGAAUUGUGCUGACUGUCAAUAGACUAGGGGUUUUUUUUUUUUUUUUUUUUGGGGUGUGCAAGACCACAGUUGCGUUGCUCUCCUCACUUAAGCGAUGAGGUUUAAUAUGUUUCGCUAAUUUUCUCCAUUUUGAUGGGCAAAUUCAGUCUCUUUUGUCGACUUGGCACCACCUAGUUUUGAUAUGGAAGUCGUCAGUAGAAGUAGCAAAAUGGAUAAAUGGUUGAUAAAUGAUUUUUGUUUAAUGGAUAUAGGGUUUAAAUGGAUAAUGGAAAACCAUAAUCCAUCCAUUUAACCAUUUAAGCCGUUAGUAGAGUAGACUAAUACUGUAGUUUUUUUUUUUUUUUUCUGGGUGUGCAUACGGAUUCUCGUUGUCUAUAUUCCGUAGUCCAUAUUUUGUUGCCCUUGCAAGUUUUUUUGGUUCCUCGAUGAUGAUUCACAAUUAUAGUUCACUCCCACGCCUCUUUACUGCUUAUCAUAUUCUUAUUCAUUAAAUUAGGAAUUCAUCAAAAUUGAUUAUAAUGAUUGGUUAGAAUGUAAUCCAAUAAAUCUAAAACAAAUAUAAUGUGAUAAGAAAGUUCUUAUUCAUAAUGCUUGAAGAUUAUCUCAAGCUGCUACCCAAAAAUAAAAAUAAAAGAAAGAGCGAUUUUUUCCAUUUCCAUAAUGUGUAAAAAAUUGUCAAUAAAAAUUUCAUUCUAUAGUCAAGAUAGAAAUUGCAGCAAACUAUCUUACUAGAAAAUUUGAGUGAAAAUGAAAAAGAUUAAAAAGGAGGAAAAAGGGUAGUAACUGGUUAAGAUUCAAAUCUAAAGAAUUAGUUUUAAGUUUAAAUCUCUUUCUUUCUUCUGUUUCUUAAGUUUCACCUUUUUCCUACUGAAAAUUUUUUUUAAAAAAAGCAACUUGAGUUCAAACAUUUGAUAAUGAUGAAUUUAAUACUUGGAAUAGAUUUAGGCUGUAUUUGGAGUUGCGGUGCUUCUUGUAAAAUGCAUUUUUAGGUGCUAAAAGUAAAACGUUUGGUGAAUAUAUCAUCCCAUAAAAUUAGGAGUAAAAGUUUUGGUGUUAAAAACACUUUUAGCAAAAGGUUAAAUUUGGUACUUUUAUAGUAGCUUUUGUGAUUUUAAAAAUAAAACAUUAAAUUUAAUCAUUUUAUCCUAUAUUAUGAACUAAAUAAAGAGAUAAAUAUAUUUAAAAAUUUUUAAAUUACAUAUUAUCCAAUACAAUAAGUAUUUAUUGAACUAUAUCUCCAAAUAAUAUAUUUAAAAGCAUUUAAACACUUAAUAAGUAUUUUUAUUAAAAACUCUAUUGAAAAAUUACUUUUUAAUAAGUUAUUGUAACUCAAAACAGGCGCUUAGUAGAAGGCAAAGAACAUGUGAUUAUUAAGCAACUAAAGGGAAAAAAUCUACAAAAAAAGAAAAAAGAAAAAGAUGAAAAUAUACUGAAGUAGUUACAAGACAAUAACAAAAAAUGAUUCUUCUCAAAUUUAACUAACUCAUAGAGGCCAGUAAUCAAUAUUUGGACUACUUGUUUCUAGCUCCACUUCUUUCCUGUGAAUUAUACAAGCGCUCAGCGAUGAUGUUCUUUAGUUUUGUGGGCCCACAACGACGACGCUUUCUUUCUGGAAGCAAGAAGUUGUGAGUCCUGGGUCCGUCUUCCCAUUACAUUCUAUUUUGCUAAAUGGAUUUAAAUGGUUCAAGUGGAUAAUUCAUGUAAAUCCAUCAAUUUAAUUGGUUUUAUCCAUUUAAAAUCAUCAUCCUUUUUUUAUAUGGAUGGAUAAAUGGAUUUGAAUCCAUUUUUUGUCACCUCUAGUCGUCAGCAACUUCCAAUUGUGGUCAGGCCUUGAAUGACAUUUCACUGUUAGAUUCAGUUUUCACAAAUGCUUUUCCAUAUAUUUUCAUGCUAAUGUCAUGUGCCUCAAAAGAUGGACUUCAAGAUUUCGACAAUUGAUAUUCAUUCCAACUCCAGGCACUAAUAAUCUAGAUGUUAAAAUUACUCUUUUUUGUGCUUUAAAAAUUAAUAUGACAAAUCCUUCCAAAACAAAAAAAAAGCCUAAUGUGACAAAGUUAAAUCGGAUCAAUGACCAUCAGCCCAUUAGACUCCGCAAAAAUGACUUGUGUCCAGACACUUUGUGAAUUACGAUGAAACUUCCAUCUUUAUUUGUCCAAAGCGAGAAAAGAACCAAAAAAAAAAAAAAAGUCUUUUAAAUGGGGGCAAUAAUGUAGGUAGUGUGCUCGGAAAUAUUCCUGCUGUACGGACAUGGGCAACCCAUGAACUUGGCUUUGAUUACUUAUGGAAAAUGACAAAAAAUGGCAAAAGAAAUGUAGGGUAAUACUAGGGGUCCCGUAAUAUGUUAAUAAUAAUAUAGUAAUAUGGCAUCCAUCCAAUAUGAUUCAAGAAAAAGAGAGAGAGAGAGAGAGAAGAAAAAAAAAGGAGGAGGUGGAGAUUGCAAAAAAACAAUUAACAAAGAAGGUUUAGCGAAGUAAUUUCUGGUAGGUAAUGCAUGAAUUACUUCAUCUCAUCAAGUUGUAGAAUCUGCACAUUUUUACUGCUCUCAUUCUGCAUGGCGUAACAAGGCAAACGAAACAAGCAGACAAUUUACGAUUCUUGGCAUCCCAUUUUCCUAUGCCGUAGAAGCAAAAUGCAAUUAGUACAACAGCAGUGAAUCUGACCAAUGUUCUCAAAACGUCACCAUCUGCAAGAGAAGGGAUUUUCACAAGGCAAAAUUUCAUUUCAGACAAGGGAAACUCUCGAUCUCCUGGAUCCUUUACAUGCCACUUGUUUCGCCAGUUUUCCCCAAGUCUCGAUACAAAGUGAAGUAUUGCCGGAAAAAUCCUUUUCUGUCGCUAUAAAUCAUUAUGCUAUUAGAGAUGAGAGGUCGCUGCGCUGCAAUCGCUUUCUUGCCCAAUGGUUUUAGUAUUUGAAACGUCUUUCAAACGUAAAAGCGCGUCAAAUUUACACUUCUUCUACUCCUGUAAGCUAAUCAUGCAUGGGUUUACCAGUAUUUUGUUUUCUUUUGUGAGUGAGAAUAGUUCAUGAAAUCAUUUUCUUUUUAAAUUCUUUUCGUGGCUUCAGGAAAAGUAAAAAAGUCUGCGCCAACGUUUAUUUUAAUCAUUUCUUAACUUGACCGAUUGGCUGAUCAGAAGCUCUUGUGAAAAGACUAGCCGGCUUAGACAGUAAAAAUUCUUCUACAAACUUGUAAGACAAUCCGGUAGUAUAGAUUGAUGGAUUGUGUGCCGUGAAUCAACAAUUUAGGCACAAUUAAAGUUUGAAAUUUGACAUCAAUUAGCCAAACCCCAACCUUCAUGCACGCACUGCAUUUGUCUCUAGGAAUUUAAGCGAACACCGCGGGGGUCCGUGUGAAUCUGGAACUGUCCAUUUGGAAUUCGGAAGAUUCAGAGCUAUACCUCGAAGUCGUCGAAUAUCUUCCAAAUCUAAAUGUUGACUUAAUAUAUUUAGAGCAAGUCAGACUUUCUGUUUUACAUUUUACGAAAGCAGGAAUCUAAACCACAGAUGGUCUCAAAUUUGCCAAUUAUGAUGCAUACGAGACCUCCUGGUGGAGUGCAAAAUUGUCAAUUUUGGUGUACUAUUUUGCAGUUUUUUCUUCGCGUGUCCCGGUCGUUUUUUUGUAAUAAAAAAAAAUCAGGUAAGUUCGAUUUCAAUCACUGUUGCGAAUUAGUAUGCGUUUCUAGAAUCGUAAGUCUCUUACAUAGAUCUUUACAAGAGUUAAAAAAAUAUGCUUCCGAAACAAUAGAUUGUAAAAGAAUUCAAACAUACGAUCUUUUCCAAGAAAAUUAUCUAUUAUUACCAAUUCAACCAACUUGUAUUACGAUCCCGCCAUAUGUGAGACCAUGUAAGCAGAGUUCAAGAUGUUCCUGAUUCACUAUAGCCAGAUAAUAACGGGGAACUCAUAGAUAGGAUGCUUACCCUCACGCCCUCAUCCCUUGAAUGAUAUGUAGGUUGGAAACAAAAACUCGUUUACACGGGUGAAAAAAAGGGCCCUAAUAAGAGAGUACGUACCAUGUCUAGAUAAUGACUCGUAGAAAUUUGAGAGGUUGGGUUUCUGGCCUCGCACAACAGCACGAGAAUUUAAAGCCGAAGUAGCCAAUUUUGUGAAAACAAAUGUAGGCAUGGCAUAUAUAGACAAUGAAGAUAGAGUUCCCGUACAGUAGUGUGGUUGCUGCAGCCGGUAGUGGAUAUGGUGCUGCUGACGGCCAUAGACAGCGACCAUCAUGGCCAUGAUGACCAUGAUGAUGAUCUUAGUGCCGAACCAACCAUCUGGAUUUUGUUUGCUUGGUGGCUAGCAUUUCCUCCUCCUAAAAAUAUCAAGUUCGUCUAGCAGUACUAUUGCCCAUUCCAAUGCUACUUUUACCUUAGAUAACAGCUUCUUUUGCUACCUGCGCACUAAAACAAUUUCUUCCCACCUAUUAUAAGUUGGAACUCGAAUUUAACUAUACCGGUCUAAUGGUCUCAAGUCUCACCAUUAAGAAGAGAUUUCAGAGAUUUAAUACAUGGCACAUUCUUUACUUUACUCAAAAUUCAACAUAUACAUUUAAUCUUCACUUGAGUUUAAACAAAUUUAGGACCCAUUUGGAUUGCAAGUUUUUCGGAGUUUUUGUGUGUAUAAUGAUAUAAUAUAUGCGAAGUAGAAAAGCGAUUCAAAAAAUUUAUCAAGAUAAAUUUUUCUGUGAAAACUUACGAUCCAAACAACGCAUUUGUCAAUUAGGCUCUUUACCUGCACACAUGUUUUUACGACUUUUGAUAAAACUAUCCAAGUUUAGUUCGCCCACAACCCCUCCCCCCCUUCUUUCAUAAUUUUCGCUUCUUCGCAAAAGAUUUGCGGAAGAUUCUAUAUAAGAAUUUAAGACGUUGCACAGAGAGAGCGAUGAGAUGAGAUUAUGAACCACUUGGUUAUAAAACAUUUUCCACAAGAGUCACGCCUGAGAGAGACACAAGAGACCCCAAAGUCCAAAAGCUUGCAUGUCUUCCAUUAUUCAUGUCAAGAAUAUAGCAAGAAUCGGAUGAACUCGUUAGAAAACGAGAACCAGACAAUUGUACAGGAAGAGGAAUGACAUGUUUCCGUGUUGCCAUUACAUCUUCCAUUUUGGGCGGUACAAUAGCAAUUGGAGGAAGCUAAGUAGGACUCUCAUCACGCCUUGCCUCCUAAUGGUUCGGCUGAAGUGGACAGCAUAAAAUAGGUCAACAAAAGAUGGUGCCAGCAGCAGAGUUCAAAAGUCCACCUCUGUAACAGGGAAAACGCACUCGACCUAAGCUAGGAGAUAAAUAAUGACUGACCCUUUAAAUCAAAAGUGAGUGGAAGAAAGCCCGAGCAAAUUGAGUACAUAUCCUAUACCAAUUUUAUAUGGGCAUAAAAAAUUGUAGUUCUGAGAUUAAGUUAACAUGGCUAACCAUUUUCAAUAUUAACUAUGAAAUCACAAUAAGAGUAGUUAAAGAUAUGAGAUCUUUUCGUGGUUUUUUUCUAGAUUUGGACCAAGAUAAUGGUUCGUUGUGGUACUUCUAACACCAAUAUGUAUGUAUGCAUGUAUUCAGGGAUGAUCCAAUGUAGGGCAAUCAGCCGGAUUUGAUAAGAAGCUAAACUUUUUUAACAUAUUAUUUUAGUUAUCAUGCUUUUCAGAGUAAGACCUGCUUUUCCAAUUUUCUAAUGAAUAGUUAGUAUAGAAAUAUUCAAGUGUUUAUUUGAAUAAGGUGUGUUGUCAAGGUUUAGACUUGACACUUCUUCUUUCACAUGUUUGUGCAAUUUUCAAUUAUGCAAUGAGAGCUGCAAGUGAGGUCACAGAGGACUUGGGAUGUAGAUAUGCAGAAUGAUAGUGAUGAUCAGGAUGUCGAUUUGAUUCAAUGGAACCCGAUGUUGUCUAAUAACAAAAUAUGCGGUUAGUUUCUUAUAAAUGUAAAAUCACAUCAAUUUCUAAAAUUUGGCUUUUGGUUUAAUGCAGUUACUGCUUUUAGUUUUGUAUAAAAAGAUAUCAUAUCGUAUAUUACCUAGUACCCAAAGAUAAAGGAUCUAAAAUAGACAAUUUGGAUUUUCAUUCGCAAAUUUAACGUGCACAUGAUGAUGUUCAAGUAAACAUCGCCAUUAUCUCCUCCAAUUUUCAGCCAUUGCUAAAUUAUUAGUUAUAGAAUAAAUUUUAUGUACACUGAUAGUAUAUAUGUUAUCGUCGCUGUCCAAACAAGGGUCUAAUUGAUUUAUAAUGAUAAGCAAGGAAGGGCAAUAUAUAUAUAUAUUCUUGUUUCUUUUUGGAAUAUAACAAACGUAGUGCAAGCUCGUAGGCAAAGAUAAUAGUAAUAAUAUGAUGGUAAUUCCUCUACGAAUCAGUCCUAUUGGCAUUCCAAUUUUUCAUUUCUUUUUGAUGGAGAGAGAGCUAAACCUCGUAUCGAUGCUUAAAGGAGAAAAGAGCAGUCAUGAUUAAUCGUGCUUUGAGGAAUGGAAGUGCAACCUUUUCCCCAAACGUUAUCAUGAUAUAUGGUGUGAAGAAAAGGUGUGAAGUAUUAUAAUACAACAUGACUUGGGCGCAAUAAACCAAAGCAAGUCAGUACGGCACACCGUAAAUUAUGAGCACCUCCCCCCUUAUAAAAGAAGACAAAAGGGAAAACGAGGGCUGGGUGGGUCAGCAGAUAGAUCGUGGAGAAGGUGGCUUAAGAGGGUUCUCCACUUGCAAUAUUGAAUGAUGAUAGCUUUGAAUUCUCAAAUUGGAUGUAAUUAUGGAAGUGGAAAAUCUUCAGCUUCCCCAUUGCCAGAUUAAAAUAACAAGAAGGUUCUCUUGGUCGCACCAAUUCUUUAAUGUGUUUUAUCUACAAAAAUAUAUAUGCAUGUACAUGAAAUUGGAUGUUGUCUAAAUCGUGCUUCUUUUUUUUUUUUUGGGGUAAAAUACCAAAAAUCUCUGUGUGAUUUGUCAAAUGUACACUUUACCUUCCCAUAGUUUGGAAACCUACAAUUUAACUCCCUGUCGUUUCAACUAAAGUGAAAUCUGACAGAAAACAUCUACAAUAACGGUAUUUGAUUACCACGCACUUCUGCUGAGAGUUGUGGUGUGAUAAUAUUUUCACUUGCCAAAGAUACCCCCGUGUGUUUCCAAACCAUAAGGAGUUAAAUUGUACAUUUGGCAAACCACAUGGAGGUUUUUGGUAUUUUACCCAUUCUCAAAUGCACGAAACAUUCUUCCGAAGAAUUAACUUAUAGAGGGGCAAUUUUGACAUUUUUUGUUCAGAUGUUAGUUUAGAUGUUUUCCGUCAGAUUUCACUUUAGUUGAAACGACGGGGAGUUAAAUUGUAGGUUUUCAAAUCAUAGGGAGGUAAAGUGUACAUUUGGCAAACCACAUGGGGGAUUUUUGGUAUUUUAUCCUCUUUUUUUUUUUGCUAGUUUCAUCUUUAAUUUCAUCUCCUCCUUCACCACCCCUCCUUUCAAAAACCCCUUGCUUCAGAGGUGUAAAUUAGAAAACGAAAAUUUUUUAGAUAAAUAUUAUAACAUUUUUUUUAUAAUGUAAUAAAUGUAAAAUAAAAAAUUUAUAAGAAAUAUAAAAUCACCUUUGACUAAAACAAGAUUAGGUAAUGCCCGCACACCUCGAUCAAAACGACAAAGGCCAAAUAUAGAAAAAGCAGUGAAUUAGAAGGUUUGAAUUCAUGUAUAUGCGAAUAAAAUAGCUCACUUAAACGCAGCAAAUAUUUGAAUAAAUAUGAAACGUUUUAAUAGUCGGUUGGAGUAAUAAAGAUCCUCCUGUUAAACAUCAAUUGGACGUGGACAUUAUUACAAGCCUGAAACAUCCAAUAAAUGGCUAACUUGAAAGUCAAACCGUGACAUGGGUGCUAUCAAUUUACUACUGUUUCGGGACAAGUUUGGUGUAAGUGAAUAGCACGCACACAAGUUGUACUCUACCCCGAAAGAAACCAAAACUCGAAACUGUUUAAUUCACAUAUGCUAAUGCAUGAAACUGUAACUGCAAUCAAGAACUUGUUUAGGAUAUAGCUGACUUUAUGGGAAGGUUAAAAGUUAGGUACUGGGGUGAAAGGCACCGAACCAGUGGUCAAAUUGAGUUCUUGUCUACCAUUUUAGGUUGGUUCUUACAACAGUUUUUGCAGGAAAAAAGAAAGAAAAAUACUCCCUCCGUCCCACUUUGAUAGUCCUGUAUUCCUUUUUCAUCUGUCCCAAAUUAUAGUCCACUUUCCAAUUGAAGAAUGUAGUUGUAUUUUAAUUUUUCUAAAAUAUCCUUAUUCAAUGUAAGUAGUUGUUACUAUAAACCUAUCCCAUUUAAUGAGAGUUGAUUCUUUUUUUACCAUCAAUUCAAGUUUCCAUAAAAUUGUACCAUAUUUAAUGUGAGGGUAUUUUAGAAAAAUAGCAAUCUAAAUUUACUUUUCCAAUAAAGUUAACUACUUUUUCUUAAACUGUGUGAAAAAAGAAACAGGACUAUCAAAGUGGGACGGAGGGAGUAGUAAAUUUUUUAGAAUAGUGAGCCAUUAUCAUGAAAUUGGAUUUGAUGCAGGCAGAAUAGCGAAUGACUCUAGAGUCUAGACCGGGAGAGGGGACAUUUUAUUUGCAUGCCCUCGCGUUAGGUUAUUCACGGCAAAUGAUUUAGCAUUGCACGGUGCCACACGAUUGGAGCCCCAAAAUCCAUGGUAGAAAUUUCAUAGAGUGUGUUUGGAUUGUUAUUUUUCCGCCACGUACUCUCUGUUGAUGCAUUUUAUAAUUACUAUUUUAUUUCAUAUAUAUCAAAUUAUUAUAUUAAUUUUUUUAGAAAAAAAAAUUCAGAAAAAUACAAUCCAAACAAAACUUAUAUAAUUUCUGAAUUUAAUAGCACGUAUUUUGGUUUACAGUCCAUAUUGACAUAGCAGUAGUAUUCUGAAUGAAGUCAACAAAAAGACACGCACACAGCAGUAGUAGUAGAGAGCAGUAGUGUUAGUCAAUCCACCUAAAACACUAGUAAGGCUAUAAUAAAUGUAGUAUAUUAUUUAGUAGAGCUUCAACCACCCCACCUCACUGGAUUUAAUAUAGAACUAAUCCGAAUAAGUAAUACCACAACUGGUAAUUGAUUUUUUGGCCAAAAAAAAAAAAGAUCAUAUGCACGAAACGAUGGCAAACAAAAAUACGUAAAAGAGUUGAUUGAGGGAGAAGAAGGAAGUGAAGUGAAGGUGAAGAAAAAUUGAAUGUAUGAAAAGAAAAGAUCCCUUCCCCCGAAUCUCAAGUUGACAAAUAGGCCGAAAGCUCAAGCAAGGGGCUAAUUUGAGAUCUGCCACGUGUCAGCCAGCCAUCGUUUUUAUCAAACGCUCGUACUCUUGAUCCAACGGUGAUCAUGGCACGCUUUCCCAGGUCUAUUUAUUGGGGCCUUGCUCUUUGACUUUUUCAAUCCCAAUCGCAAUACACGACAAACCCCCACAACACCCCUCCUUCCUCAAACCUUCAGCCACCUUGCUCGGCCACUCUCACUCGCCUGUCUGGCACGUGUGAAUCUAACGUCCAUUCCAUUCCAUCAUCAAGGUUGAGUUUGAGCCUUUUGAGAUAGGAUUAGGGUAUACGCCAUUACUCUUCCCCAGUUCAAAGUUACGUUUCAUAAUUAGAUUUCUACGAGGGGAAUCUUCGCAUGGUAAUGGAAAAAGCGAGCGAUGACCAUGAAAUACGCUUAAAUCUCCAUUUGUCAUUACACGAGCCGCUCACGAAAUAGAUGUCUUGUUUUGUUAGUAUUUAAUUAAUGAAGUGAUAUAUAAAAGUAUUAUUAUAACCCAAUGUUGAAUUUGAAUAAGUUACUCUUUGUUAAGAAAUUAUAACAUAAGAUAAUUUUUUUAAAUAUAAUAUCGGUGUAUAAUUUUUUUAUACUAGCAUGUUUAAAUCAUGCCAUAUAAUAUAAAUUUAAAUUAUAUAUAUAUGCCAUACAUAAAAAACUGUUAGUAUUAAAGAAUCACUAUAAUAUCAAUGCAUAAAAUGUUAAUCAUAUAUUUAUACAAGAUCAAUCUUUCCUACUUGACAAUGUAUAUAUAUUGUCAGCAUUGGAUGAAUGAUAAUUAUAUUAAAUUUGAAUUAGAAAUUCAACUUUUACAUAUGUAUUAUGGAUCCAACGAUGAUAGUAUAUGCGUACGCUAUUAGUGUAAUAUUAAUAUAAAUUGACAAAAGAAUCUAGGCUCCACGAAAUGCAUUUUCUAUCACACGAGUACUUAAAAAUCAGCUAUGGACAUGUAAAAAAUUCAAAUGAUUUUCUAUCAUUCAGAAUAUUUUUUUUUAGUCUCUGUUUGUGGUCAGCUUGAGAUCGAUUUACUUGUCAACAUAAUUUAUUUUUUUUUUAAAAAAAACACCAAAUGUUAAAUGACCUGCAAUUUACGCGCUGAAACUGGGGAGUGAAGCUGUCUAGUCCUAGUGUCGUAACCAUUGAAAAAUCGGUAGAGUUUUUCCCUUGUUUGUCAUAUUUGUUCAAUCCGAUGACCUUAACCCCUCACAGUUACAUGCCAGACGUCUCUUACAGCCAUAACCCAUCAGUCAACGCCCCACACACAUCCAACAAUUAAAAGCAUUAAUACGAAAAGAGGAAAGGAAAUUGAAUACUCCUACUUCCAAAAACCAAUUACUUUAAUUUUUUUUUUUUUUAAAAAGUCUCCAAAAGUUUUAGUACACCUCUGUUUUUAUUACUACGUUCAAACACCUCUCUGCCCACCUAAAGUCAACGCCUCUCUCUUUCGCUCUCUCCCUCUCGCCCCCCCUCCCUGCUUGUCACCCCCACUUCUUCUUCUUUGCAGCUUCAUUUUCCAUUAUUUCUGUACCAGCUCAAUCAGCUAUGAAGUUUUGAUGAACGCCCGCAAAAACAUAUCUUUUCUAAUUCUAUAAUUUUUUAAAUUCUUUUCCUUUAAAAUUUGAAGAAAUGGGUAAUGGAAUCCGAAAAUUAAGCGUUUGCUUCACCUGCGCCGACGGCGGAGCUUAUGAAGCUCCGAGGAAGAGAGAUUUAGCUGCCGUGAUAUCUGACCCUUUAGAUGAUUUGGGUCAUUCUUUCUGCUAUGUUCGGCCCGAUCAGACCCGGUUAUCUUCUUCUAAGGUCCAUUCCGAGGAGACCACUACUUCAACCACGACGUUUAAGUCAAUCUCCGGUGCUUCCGUUAGUGCCAAUACCUCUACUCCGCUUUCGACCGCCUUCGUCGACGUCUAUACUUACAACAGCAUCGAUAGAGCCUCUGCCGCCGCCGCCUUCGAGAGCUCCACCUCCUUUGCUUCAAUCCCUCUUCAACCCAUCCCGCGAAAUUCAACUGGAUACUCCGGCCCGUUAUCGAGCUCUGGGCUUAUCCCGGGCUCUGGCCCGAUUGAAAGGGGAUUUUUGUCGGGCCCGAUAGAGAGGGGGUUCAUGUCGGGCCCUCUUGAUCGGGGGCUCUUUUCAGGUCCUCUUGAGAAGGGUUUCUCUGAUCAGUUCCAGAGAAGCUUCUCUCAUGGGGGUUUCGCGUUUCGGCCCAGAUCAAGAAAAGGCUCGCUGAUUCGGGCCCUGCAGAGAGCUUUGUCAAAGACAAUCAGUAGAGGUCAGAACUCAAUUGUUGCUCCAAUCAAGGGUGUUGUUUCAUUGAAAGAAAAUGAGUGGAUUGUGGAUUCUGAAAAGCAGAAUGAGUUGACCAUUAGUAGUGUUAAUUUGAGCAGUGAAGGUAGCUUAGAUGAUGAUGACUCAUCAGAAAGUCAGAAUCUUCAGUGGGCUCAGGGGAAAGCAGGGGAGGAUAGGGUUCAUGUGGUUGUUUCUGAGGAGCAUGGAUGGGUUUUUGUAGGGAUUUAUGACGGAUUUAAUGGCCCCGAUGCUCCGGAUUAUUUGUUAUCCAAUUUGUAUUCAGCUGUUCAUAAGGAGCUGAAGGGAUUGUUAUGGGAUGACAAGUUUGAUUCUUUAACUAAGAGUUCCUCUGCCUCGGUUGAGACCUUGAAUUCAGGAAUGGAGGAUUUGAAUCAGAUUAGUAAGGAGGAGGUUUCACGGGAUAGGACUAAAGAUGGUUGUUCUAGAGGAGUAGAGCAGGAGAGUUAUCCGUGUGGAAACGGAGAAGUGACAUUUGAUUCACAAAUCAGUAAAAAGACUAGAAAAAGUUCGAAGGGUAAGUAUAGAGGGGCUGCCAAGAGAUGGGAGGAGAACCAGAGGAAGUGGAGGUGUGAAUUUGAUAAAGAGAGAUUGGAGCUCGACAGGAGGUUAAAAGAGCAAUUGAAUAAGAAUAGGUUGAAUGGAUCGGGGACAAUUAAUCAUUCAGAUGUGCUGAAAGCUCUCUCUCAAGCGCUGAAGAAAACGGAGGAGGCGUUUCUGGAUCUUGCUGAUAAGAUGGUUAUGGAGAACCCUGAGUUGGCAUUGAUGGGCUCUUGCGUCCUUGUGAUGUUAAUGAAGGGAGACGACGUUUACGUAAUGAAUGUAGGUGAUAGUCGAGCAGUUUUAGCCCAGAAGAAAGAGCCUGAUCUAUGGAGCCAAGAUUUGGAGAGGAUCAAUGAAGAAACAUUGCAUGAUCUUGAGGUUGAUGGCGAUAUAUCAAAUACAGUACCAAGCUUAAGUGCUUUUCAACUCUCCAUGGAUCAUAGCACCUCGAUAGAAGAGGUAGAGGGUUCUAUCCUUCUCUUCAUGCUUUCGUUAUAUGCUUUAGUUGAUCAAGCUUUUAAUGACCAAAUUUAUUUCCAAUUAAGUUCCAAUUGAUGAAUGCUGAUCUUACUCCAUGAAAUUCAGGAAGUGCAAAGAAUUAGAAGUGAACACCUUGAUGAUGCUUGUUCUGUAAUGAAUGAUCGUGUAAAAGGUUCACUGAAGGUCACUCGAGCUUUUGGUGCUGGUUUCCUAAAGCAGGUACCGUGGAAUCUGGCCUUUCUGGUUCUCUGAAAGUCAAACUUCUGAAAGGGAUUUUUGUAGGAAGAUAUGAAAAGUCUUUUUAUUCCUUUUGAACUUGGGAAAAAGUAGAUUCCUCAAUUGGAUAUGGAAAAAUCUACCAUUUAGUUCAUAUCAAGAAGACUGAGAACAGAGAUUAUGCUUCCUAUAGGCCUUUUCUAGUAGAGAAUAAAACGAGUAAUUCUUUUUUGUUACUGAGGCAUAUUCUGGGAUAAGCUUAUUAUUUUCAAACCUAUGAAAAAGCUGAAACUGUGAACAAAAAGUUUGUGUUUGACAAUUGCUUCAACAGCUUAUCCGCCUUGUUUGAAACAACCUUUUGUAUCCCUUCUCUCCAAUAACCAAUCAAAUUGCUGUCUUUGACUCGAAUUGCAGCUAAACUUCCAACAGAAGAUCACUUUUGAGAGCAUCCCACAUCUAGUCCAUAAAAUAAUAUAAUGAUGAAUUUCCUUUACAUAUGAAUAGCAGGACAUAUGGACUAAUAUGCAAUUUAUGUGAGAGCCUCGAACAAGUUGGAAUUUGUUGCUGUAAUUACAUAGCAAUCUAUUGAGUGAGGCAUUUCAUCUUGGAAUUUUUUCAUAAGAAAAACUUUGGGUUCACGAUCAUAAAAUUCGUCCUGACAGAGGGGUUGUUGGCGGGGGAUGAGAGGGAUGGUCUGUCUACUUUUUUCUGCUGAUUACUUGAAUAUUUGAUUUAUUUUGAUCUAAACUGUUGCUUUACUUGAGAAACAAAUUCCUGAUUUCAUGGUUUUAAUAUGCAAUUUCUCUUUUCCUGCAGCCAAAAUGGAAUGAUGCACUCCUAGAGAUGUUUAGAAUCGAUUAUAUUGGAACUUCCCCAUAUAUUAAUUGCCUCCCAUCACUCUACCACCACACAUUAGGGCCAAGAGACAAAUUUUUGGUUCUAUCUUCAGACGGCCUGUAUCAGUAUUUCACAAAUGAAGAGGCUGUCUCAGAAGUUGAACUUUUCAUCGCUUGGUCUCCAGAAGGGGAUCCUGCACAGCAUCUGGUUGAGGAAUUGCUAUUUCGAGCUGCAAAGAAAGCUGGUAAAUCUUUUAAACAAGCGAUCAUUUAUUCUGCUGACCAAUACAAAGUAGCUUAGCAUGACGGGGGUAAUUUUUUUCUGUUCCAUUUCAGGGAUGGACUUUCAUGAACUGCUUGAAAUUCCACAAGGGGAUAGGCGCCGCUACCAUGAUGAUGUUUCAAUCAUUGUUAUUUCGCUGGAGGGGAGGAUAUGGAGAUCCUGUGUAUAGCAGCUAGGACCAUGACAAACAAAAUAGAGACAUUUGAAAAACCUUUUAAAAAAGAAAAAGAGAAAAAAACAAAAUCAGGCAUCCAAUUUUUGAUGUUCUUUUAUCCCUCAAGUCACCCGGUGACACAGAGUAUCAAUUAGGCUGUUGAAUCAGAUAGCCUUAGUUGUGCAAUGUAGUGAGUGGAUUGUAAAGGUCAGGUGUACAAGUUGCUCCUUGUCGAUUAUAAACUGGUCAUAUAAAAUUGUAUUUUCUUUUCCAAAUAAACGAUGUCCCACGAAGACAAGUUUUGUCUUGCCACCUUUUUGUUUUAUUACUUUCACUUCAUCUAUGACUCCUUUCUGGGUUGGCAUCGUUUUUUUCGAAACUCCUUAGCAUCUUUCUACGUGAAAUGAACAUGUCAAACUUUUGCUUCCUUCCCAGAAAUUUCCUCAGGAAGAAUUAAAAGUUGUAGAGAAGAUCCCAAAGUGGCUGCAGCAGUGGAAGUUUCCCAAAGUUCCGGAAACGGGACUCCAAUUUUUUUUUUUUUGUUUUUUUUUUUGUGUCUGUGUGUGUUUCACCUUCCAUUAGUUUUCUCGGGGCGAAGAAACUCAAAAGGAAAGUUCCCUUUCUGUCCUUUUUAUGUUUGUAUUGAAAUCUGAUAAACAAUCGAAUAAUAAAUAAGUUCAAGGACUUCCAGAUUUGCUUAAAAUUCCCUCUUAUUGCUUUUAAUUAAUUAGUCAAAAACGUGUAGUGCUGCGUUUGGCACCGAGGAGAAAUCAGAAAAGGUGGAAUUUACUCAGGUCAACAUCAGAGCGGUCAAAAAACUAUACGGUGCUGACUUGGGAUCAGAAUUACAUGUCGUGCCUGAUGGCCGACUCACCUAAGGCGAGUUGUUCAUCUGAGUCUGCUUGGACUUGGGAGAUGGGAUGACGGGCAACAGCUUAGCUUGAAUGCAUUUUGGUGGGGAUGGAAAGGGAACUGGAAACGAAUUGAUCACCAUCAUCAUUCAUCACUUUCAUUUAUCUAACUGCUAACCAUUUUUUCCUCAUUGAAGCAGUAAAUGCAGAUGGAGGUGGGACGUGGGAGGGUUGGCCGGUUGGGCUUAUCGGUCAGUCAGGUUCAUCAGUUCCCACCAAGUAGAAAACCUGUCAUUUUGUCAUUAAUAAUUUUGUACUGCUAUCGAUGUUUUAAGUAUGCUGCCUACUAAAAAUUUGGCCUAUCCCCCCUCCAUUCGUUUUCCUGGAUGGGAAUUCCUUUUUCUCCGGGUUUCCAUGAAUUUCAACCGUUCUUGAGUAUUGAAGACUCAACUCCAAACUACCAACUUCCCCUCCUCUUCUCUGUUUUCGGUUCUUGGAGUUGGGGAUUUGGCAAUUGUGUGUGUGUGUGUGAUUGGGCCUACUUCCACGAAAUCGUAUAAGUUGGGUGUUACAUGCUAUGGGCCAAGUCAAUCCACUUACGGUUAGGCUAGUUGGUUACUGUGUUUCAGGAGUGUGUGAGAAACACUCAGUUGGGUAAUCCCCCAACUCUCUCUCUCAAUUAAGUUAUCAAGAACAUAGGCUAUCAAUUGCAAUGGUUACUUGUCUGUACUUGAACAAAGAAUUCUUUUCUAAUUAUUUACAAAAAAAAAAAGAAGAAAGAAAGAAAAACAACAAGGUCUUUUGGCGAAAAUUGAAGUAGUAGCAUUUCAAACAAAAAUUUGCACCUUGUGAUGCAAUAAGUUGGAGACAUAUGUAGGAGACUAGAUCCCGAAAAUUUAUCUUUAGCUUGUGGGUAAAAAAAGAACUUGAAGUUAAGUUGAACUUGAAAGUGAAUUUUCCAAAUGUAAAAAAUUGUGGUGAAAGCCUCUCUCUCUCUUCCGGCAAUGAUAAUAUUUGUAUAACCUAAUAUAUUCUAUUCUGCAGGAAUGGGGAGUCUAAAGAGACUGUAUAAGGGGCUAAUAAAUAUACAAAUUUAACUAGCUCAAAUGAGUGUUCUGACACCUUUUUUGGAUUUUUUUCAUUGGAAGUAGUGUUCGAAUCCUUGAUACAAUCCAAAGAAGGAUUUGAUCCUUUUUUUUAUAGCUUUGGCUCGGUGGUUUGGUGAAAGCCUCUCAUUUGCUCUGGAAGGUGACAUUAGAUGAUAUGAUAUCAGAAGUGUAAGGUUGCGUUUGGUGCAAAUUUUCAAAGAAAAAUUGCGACGUUUUCGUGGACACAUUUUUUAAUUACCUUUUUACCUCAUAUAUAUCAAAUCGCUACGGUAUUUUUCCUACAAGAAGUCCAGAAAAAUGCAAUCCAAACUUAUCUUUUGAAUUUGUGGAGCACAAGAAAUGAUUAAAUAAGUUGGUGGAUUACGUGCUGCCGGAGUAGUUUGCUUCUGUAGUCUGUACCAACUAAACUAAACUGGCCAACCUCCACUCGAGUUGGCUGAAACUCAUUUAGACAACUAACUCAAACAGGAAGGAUCUUUAUUGGCCAAGUAGCAAGAAUACGCUCAAAAUCCACAUCUGUUUCUAAUAAACAAAAAAGUUUUAUACUAAAGAAAAACUAAGCCCCAGAGAAGAAAAGGUAAAAAUUCACAUAAAAGGACAAUUUAUGAAGACCUGGUCAAAAAAACCCAUUGACAGGCUUUCUUUUGGGGCACAACUUUCUUCUAUGAGAUGUUAGGCCCAAUGGAUCAAUUUGCAAUACCUCAAUAUUCAUGUCCUGCAUGUUAGGUUGGAGAUUUAUUGAAGCAAAAAGCUAGUUGAAUUAGUCGAAUCAAGAAUUUACACGCAAGAGCAAAAUGUCACUAACGCAUUAAGAUAAGGGUCUAAUGAGUGCCCGUUGGGUUAGAUUAAGAUGGAGUUCCGGUGUUUAUAUUUUGAAAAAGUAAUUUUAAUUAAAGAAAGUAUAUAAAUAUAAAAUAAUAAUUAUUAAUAUAUACAUUCACAUGACAGAUUAUACGAAAUUUAUAAGUAUAUUGAUCAGCCUCCAUUAAGCACUUGUUAGAGUUCGUUGGCAUCUGUUAAUAAAAUCUUAAAAUAAAUAGUUAAUGUACUUUUGGGUUUCGUGGGCCAUUUAUUACUAGUUGCAGUUUUGACUGCGUGUAGUCAAAGAAGCACCUAUGGUGAACAGAAAUAUAAUGGUCACCUAUUCUCAUAUAUUUAUAAUGGAAUGAAAAGGCUUUUUUCUUUGUGUUUUUUUUUUUGUUUGGGGGGGGGGGGGGAAAGGGUUAUGUCUGGGUCUACAAAAAUACAGGAUCACUUUUCUUUCUCUUUAAAGGUUAUUUUUAAUAUGUAGGUUAUUUUUAAUAACCUACAUAAACACUAAAAUGAAAGAAUAUCAUUAACAUAAACAUAGACAAAAAUGCUUUGAGAGGUAGGCGGUAUAUGUUAUUUGACGACGACAUUGCAGUUCACCAAACAACAAAUUGUUUUUGGUAAAUCUCUCUCUCUCUCUCGUCGACACAGUCAAGCUCUUUGUUGUUGUUGUUGUCUUUUUUUUUUUUUUUUUUUAAUUCCCCUCUGGCUCUGGAGCAGGGAUGGUGAAAAUUUUCUGUUUUACUUAAUUGUUCGGGUUAAAAGAACUUAUAUUUGUUCACAUAUUCCGCGCCUCUUCUUUCACCAUAUCUGGCACCUCAAAUAAUAUACAAAACAUCCAUUAUGGCCUUUUACAAAUUUAAAACGUAGAGAUGAACAAAAUUUUUUGACAUAUUGGAUUCGACUGUAAAACAAAAAAAAUUGUAAGUAAGAGAUCAUGAUUUCAAAAUCACCAACCUUUAGGCCGGUGGUCACCACCAAGUCCUUGGGAGGUCAAGGGUUCAAGAGUUCAACCCUUGCUUCCUAUCAAUUGCCACAAUAUGUGGUUUCUCUAAAAAAUUCAGAUAGAUAUGUAGUGCACCCGUCUGGUACGAUGGUGGUUUAAUCCCUAUCGACCUCCAGAGGUCCAGUUGGACAUUUUCCCUAAGUUAGAAUAGAAUAACAUUAUAUAGAUAAAGUGACGAUUGACCAAAAAAAAAAAAAAAGAGAUCAUGAUUUCAAAACUUCUCAUUUACCAAAAAAAUUAUUUAAAAAAAUAAAAGUUUUUAACAUGCCAUAUUACAAGACAAUUAGACAAAAUACUCCUCCCUAAUGAAGGCAGAGUGCUGGGCAUGCAUGGGUCUGUUAAACAAUUUUAAACUUUAAAAAAAGUACUACUAGGAUGAGCAAAAGGGCAACGAUCAAAGGACAAAGAGCAGCAGAGCUGGUAACUGGUAAGUAGCACCAAGACUAAACAAAGAACUCUUAUUGGGAACAAGUAAAACUCCACUUGGAGCAAUCAAAUUCAAUCAUUCAAAUUUUAAACAGGAAAGCCGGCGCCUCACUGCCGAUCCGAGAUGCUGACUUCAAACUUUUUUUGAAUAUGAACAGUCUCCCACACUCUACAUUCAAGUCCAAAACCAUUAUUAUCUAUGCCUGAUGAUCCCAAGAUUAAAACUGCAUUUUCUAACUUGGAAAUUCCGACAUCUCAAGUCUUACCAAAUGUGAUUCAGACCAAACACAUCCUUCUCACCACUCUUCCUUGAAUUUGUCAACCCCUACAUACAUCCCACCUCAUAUCUGCCACCAAGUGUCCAUUUUUCUACUAUCAUAAAUUUCUUCUUGUUACAUAUGCACUCUUCACUUUAUUUGAAGAUAGAUUAGGUGUUACUUUGGGUGCGUCAUGAAUUAGUUGAACACUAUUGUUAAUCCAAUAUAUUAUCUAUCAAGAGUCUAAUCCAAGCAAGAAUAUGUCUUCCAUUCUAGGCAGCAACGGUGGGAAUAUGGGGUCACCCUUUUUUAAUGAAUUCAAGAAACAGGCGUCUUUUUUCCUCAAGGAGAAGAUCAAGACUGCCAGAUUGGCCCUGACUGAUGUUACACCGGCUCAACUGUAAGCUUCCUACUUUUUGAUGCACUUUGUUGUACGAUCUGGGUCUGAUAUGUAACUAUUGAGAGGCAUAUUUGCCUUUUCAACUUUCAAGUACUUUGAGAGUUUUUUUGAUUCUUUUCCUCUUUAAAAGAUUGGUAGAGGAAGCUACAAAUGGAAAUCCAGGAGCUCCAGACACUUGUACUCUUAAAUUGAUAUCAAGGGCUGCUUUUGAAGUAGACGAUUAUUGGAGAAUUGUGGAGAUCCUGCAUAAGAGGUUUCUUGGAUUAUUUAGCCUGUGAUUCAUAAAAUAGUACUAGUAUUUUAUAUCAACUAUUGAUGGCUUGAUGUGUGCCUUACACUUGCUGUGAUUCUGUUUGUUCCAUAUUUCUGUGGUUCAGAUUAGUGAGUUUUGAUAGAAGAAAUUGGAGGGCUUCAUACCAAGCUUUAAUUGUGCUAGAACACUUGUUAACUCAUGGGCCUGAGAGGGUAUCGGAGGAGUUUCAGAACGACAGAGAUGUUGUUGAAGAAACUGGAAGCUUUCUGUAUGUUGAUGAGAAAGGGUACUAAGUUCAUUUUUUUCAAGUUAUUUUCCAAAAAAUUUUGUCUCUCUAUCUUAAUUUAAGGUAGAUUCUCACAAAUCCUGCGCUUACGAAACAGAUUCAACUGGGGCCUGAAUGUUAGAAAGAAAUCUGAGAGGAUAUUGAAGCUGCUUGAUGAUAGAUCAUUUCUGAAAGAAGAGAGAAACAAGGCUCGGACAGUAACUAAAGGAAUUGAAGGGUUUGGCAGCUUCUGCAAUAGGCGUUCUUCGGACCAAGAAGUUCCGCAGGAAUCAUCUCUGAAAUCAUUUGAGAAAUGCAAUUCUCAGUUUAAUGAACAUGGAAAUAAGGAAAAUGGCAUUUCGUUGUUUGAUGAUCAGUAUUUUACCAAUGGAAAGCUGGAAAAUUCAAAGCAGGCCAACAGCGAUAAUUCAAACUUGGCAUUGAAUACAAAACUAGAAAAUUCAACCGCCUGGAAAAAUUCUGAUAAUCAAAGGAUGCUUGAGAAGGAUAGUGCACGAACAAGUUUCAAAGAAAAUACGGCCCCAAAACAGAAAGUAUAUGCAGAGGACUUGGACGAUUGGGAUACAGCAGAAGAGUCAAAUGCUCUUUUGAGUAAUCAAGAAGCUGAUUCCAGGAUGAACAUCUCCAUGGAAGAUGAUCAUCCCUUUAACCUCAACCAGCUCCGACAUGCUGUCUCCCUGCUUCCUUCAAGAGAUCAAGUCCUGCGGGCAUUUUGAAGAUUGAAGUAAAGUUGAUGCAAGUAGCUUCUGUUAAAACCAUCCCUCGUGGUUUCUAAGGUUAUGUUUCUCUAUCAUGUAUAUUUUUAUGGAUGGGAACAAGCCAAUGCUUGUUCUUAGAGGAUCUGAUUUCUUCUUCCAGCCUGCUCUAUAGCAGUCAGUCAUUGUGAGAUUGUUUAUUAUCUAUGUUGGUCGUGCUUGGUUAGGCAGAAACGAACUAUGCCACCAACUAGUUCACUUUUCUGGUGUGAAUCCCGGCACACUAAUUGCUUGUUUUGUUUAUUUGCCUCGUAUUCCUUCUGAUAUUUGUCUUUUUUUUUUCCAUCUUUUUGAGCAAGUUGAGAGAAAAUCAGAGGAUAUCUAGCUUAACAUCGCAGAUAUGUACGUGUUCCUGGCGAGACUGAUUUUUUCAAUUGACUGUAUUCAGCUGUUUUAUACAAGAAAUGUGUAACAAUGAGAGGUUGCUCCCUAUCUAGUUGUCCCUGAUUGGCCUAACCUGAACAGAAUGUAUUCUGUCACACUCCGAACUAUGAAAGGGAAACAAAAAGGGAAACUGCUGCUAAUUACAUGAUUUAUGUACUCUACUCAAACAUCAAGCUAGAUCUAGAUAUACGCUUCUAUACAUGUACAAGAAUAUAAAUGUCACAUAAAUUUCAGAACCUUAAGAUUUGCAGAGCCACUCCUGAAUGGCAAGCCGCAGUGCAUGAUUAGGAGUAAGAGUCAAGUGACUUAAUUUCAAAUUGGUCAUGGGAGAUGUCUCACGGCCAUUUUCCAACCAGCCACGCAAGGCCUCUCCUUCAUAGGUGAAUCCAUCUGCUGCCACCUGGGGGUCAUGCAUUAUCUCCUGAAAGUUACCCAGUAAAACGUUACCUUACAUGCGCUAGUAGAAACUGAUGUAUUAGUCAUCAUAAAAUAAAUGAAACCGGUUCAUCAUCACACCUGUAGAGGUUACAGAAAUCAUAGUCUUCCAAGAAAACAAGGCUGUCAUUUUUAUUGUUUUAGUCAAGAGAGGUCUAGCACAUAACUAAAUUUCAAGCAGAAUGGCAUCUUGUUUCAACUUGCGAUUGCUAAUGGUCGAGAAUGAAGAGUAAGCUUAUGUUUCAGGAAAAUGAUAAUAGAAAACUGGACAGCUAUUGCCAUCUAGCUAUUGAAGAUUUUGACAUUACUGACCUGAAGAAUGGGGCACAAGAAGAAAGAGGGCACCAGUCUCUCCUCCAAGACAUGUAAAUGCUCCAGUUCCCUAACCAGAGUUGGCGUGAUGGAAGGCCUAUCCCUUCCAUUCAAUUCACAGCAUUGCAACCCCAACUCCACCAAUCUCCUUGCAACAAAUGUAGACCACUCCCCUGCAGAUGAAUCCAAGAUUGCUGUUAUUUUUCCACAGCAGACCAUUUUUCGUACUUCGCAGGCCAGUCCAGCUGGAGGUUUCCCAGUGAGUAACUGAAGUAUGAUCAGCCCGAAUGAGAAAACAUCAGAUUUAGGUGUCAGGAUUCCAGUCCUAUGAAAUUCUGGAUCUGUGUAGGGAAAAGCACCUCUUGUCUCAGUGAUGCGACGGAAACUUGGGCAGCGAAGGGUUUGUUCUGGUACUAAUCUGAAAAUUCCAAAGUCACCAACUUUGCAGCAGUUCUCAGAGUCUAGUAGGACAUUAUUAGGUUUCAAAUCGCCAUGAGUUAUUCCUUCAGGACCAGAAGAGUGCAAAAACAGAAGGCCACUAGCAAUUUCAGAAAUAAUCCGUACUCGGGUCUUCCAGUUUAAGGGACAAACAUUACUUCCGUGGAAGAGGCGAUCUUGGAGGCUGCCACCAGGUAAGUAGUCAAAAACAAGGGACCAGGCUUCAGGACAUACGCCAAUUAAUGUCACCAGAUGAGGAUGGUGCACUCUUCCAAGAAUUUGAGCCUGCAACAAGAAAAGCUUAUGUCAGUCAUCACUACAAUCACAAAGCUCAAACAAAACCUGAGCAUCAAUAGAGACAAAUCAAGCAUUUGAGAAUUUGAGUUAUGCAAGAAAAUUGGACUAAAAAGUUGUUACAAGUUGAAAACGAGUUUUACAAACAACUAAAAAAGCACAUGCCCAUAUAGAGUAAUCAACCUCUUGACAAAAUUCAGGUUGCUUUUGUGUAGAAUGCGGAUGCAGCAUCUUUAUGGCGACUGUUCUGUUCAACAUCUCCCCUUUGUACACUGCACCAUUUCCUCCCCGUCCAAUCUUAAAACUCUCUGAAAAAUUGCAUGUUGCGGCCUGCAAAUCCAACAGUGAAAAUUCUGCCAAUUCCAAUGAUUCUCCACUAAAUUGUACAAGACCAUUGAUAUUUUCACCAUUGACUUGUGAGCCACUUUUCCAGUGAUCAAGCCACUGCACAGCUUCAAUUUUCUGCUGCUGAAUUUUCCGCCUUUCCCGCUGUAAUCUUGCCAGUGAAGAUUGAAUAAGCUUCAGUUCUCCAGCAACAUCUUCACACCGGCAGUUUGCUUCCUGUGCACGACUAUCUAGAACGGCUAUAUUUCUCAUGGCCUUUUGGAACUCACGAGUUAAAACCUCUCUUUCUUCUAAGAGCUUCUCUUGCUCCUGUAUUGUAGUUCUAAGCUCUUCUUCAGCUUCUUUCCUAAUUUUGACUUCCCGUUCAUAAGCAGAUUCAAAAGCUUUGGCCUAUAUAACAGCAAAUUAGCCAUGAAUCUCACACAUGGACAUAAAAUACAUAAACAAUCAGUUUCAGUUAAAAGUGUGUACAAACUAUUUCAGACUAUGUGAAUCAAACAAGUGAAUUGAUAUUCAUUAAAUGAAAGGAUAGAGUUUGCACUUGCAACAAUUCAUAGAGACCCCAUAGCAACAUGGCUGUAUUUAUAGAGUAAUGCAAAUCCCGGAUGGAGGAUGGAAAAGUGAAUACUGCAAGUCCUAACUAAGUUGGAAAAGAAUUUUGCAAGAUAUUGACAUCUAUAGUAUCUAGAACUUGUAGCAAGAAGAAAAAUGCUAAAGCUGUACCAACACAAAUUGUACGGAAGACCAGUUAAAGCUGUACUAAGAUAAGUUGUUGAUGACCUGAAGUAGAACACGUUAAUAAGAAUAGACAGGUAAAUGCCUUCAUGACUGAAUCAUUAAAAUUCCAUUUUGUUAACAUCAGUUUUAAGUGCAUUGUGAAGCAUGAAAAAAAUGUUCACGCACUUAACUGGCCACUCUUAUGGUGCAUACUCAAGCUCAAAACAGAAAUAGCUUACAUUGCUGAUGGCUUCUACAGCUUCAGCUUCCAAUUUUUGACACAUCAAGAGCUCUGAAUCUGCUUCAUCCCUUGAUUCUUCAGCUUCUUUCUUAAGUUCUUUAAGCCAACCAUAUAAGCCCUCUUUCUCGACUUUUGAAUUAGAAUCUGAAGACACUCUUGAUACAGCAGAUGAAGCAUAUCCUGAGCUAGAGCUCAAAGUUGCAGGACUGAAGAAUUGAAAAGUGCUUGGAUAGCAUCUAGUUGGCAGAGUAAGAGAAGAUGGUUCCACCUUAGCUCCUUCCUUCUGAAAACAAUUUCUUGUUCCUGAACAAGCUGGAUAUUGAGCAGAUCUAGAUCGAAUACAUUCUGGGUGAUAAUUAUCAUUGCUCUUAGAAGAGGGUGCAGAUUGAGAUCUUAAGUUCGAUGCUGCUGCAAGUUCUUGUUGACUGAUUAAUGCAAAAGAACUUGAGCUUUGAGAAUCUUGUCUCGUCCAGACC